CGUAAANUUAGGCAUAUAAAUAAGCGGAGGAAAAGAAACCAACAGGGAUUCCCUUAGUAAUGGCGAACGAAAAGGGAAGAGUCCAGCGCCGAAUCCCGCGCUCUUUGGGCGUCGGGAAAUGUGGCGUUUGGGAGUGAGCGUGCCGGAGGUUGGCUCUGCAGCAAGUCCCCCUGACCGGGGCUCUUUCCCAGAGUGGGUGCGAGGCCCAUAGCUGCUAGGUCUCUUCCGGAUGCGAUCUCCUUGGAGUCGGGUUGCUUGGGAGUGCAGCCCUAAUCGGGUGGUAAACUCCACCUAAGACUAAAUACUGCCGUGAGACCGAUAGCAAACAAGUACCGUGAGGGAAAGUUGCAAAGAACUUUGAAGAGAGAGUUCAAGAGUACGUGAAACUGCUCAGAGGAAAACGGGUGGGCCCUCGAAAUCCUGUGGCGGGAGGAUUCAGUCGAGAGGUUCGGAGGCAUGACCGAGGCGUUGACAGAAUGGUACCCGCGACCGGGCCUCCUUGGUUAUGCUCUUUCGGAUCGACCGACGCAUUUCUUUCCCGCCCGAAGGACGCCGCAACGGGUUGGCGGGACGGCCUUAAGGACGGGAGCCGGCAGGUGGCCGGUGGUCUCCCUCGUGGGGCCGCCGGUUGUUAGCCUUUCCGUAGUACGGUCGUACCCCGACCCUGGUGUCGCGAGGCCCUCUUGGGCCUCUCCGCCUCCUCCGUAGGUAGCGAGUAGACGUGGCAGGUGAGGCCCUGUUCCCGCGGGCGCACGGACUCACUCCGUGGCCCAGCAGGACAGGGUCCCCGUUGGCUGCGCAUGGCUCGUCGGRSWSSKRSYRRKKAGYSKMRMRURKRUSSGWSWCMSWSSSKMYCSRUSWWGMMCACRGGMSCAAKGAAAGCAAAGGCCGUUCACGGCUGAGUUGGGAUCCUCGCUCCUUCGCGGGCGAGGCGCACCAACGACCCGUCCCGUCCGAUUUAUCGGUGUGGCGGAGUUCGAGCAUACACGUUGGGACCCGAAAGAUGGUGAACUAUGCCCGGGCAGGACGAGGCCAGAGGAAACUCUGGUGGAGGUCCGCAGCGGUUCUGACGUGCAAAUCGAUCGUCAGACCCGUGUAUAGCGGCGAAAGACCAAUCGAACCAUCUAGUAGCUGGUUCCCUCCGAAGUUUCCCUCAGGAUAGCUGGCGCUCAGAGAUCAGUCUCAUCCGGUAAAGCGAAUGAUUAGAGGCCUUGGGGCCGAAACGACCUCAACCUAUUCUCAAACUUUAAAUGGGUGAGAAGUCCGCCUUGCAUGACUGAAGGCCGGACGUGACGGAUGAGAGUGCCCAGUGGGCCACUUUUGGUAAGCAGAACKGGCGCUGUGGGAUGAACCAAACGCCGGGUUAAGGCGCCCGAUGCGAGACGCUCAUGAGACCCCAUGAAAGGUGUUGGUUGCUCUAGACAGCAGGUUGGUGUCCAUGGAAGUCGGUAUCCGCUAAGGAGUGUGUAACAACUCACCUGCCGAAGCAACUAGCCCUGAAAAUGGAUGGCGCUCCAGCGUCGAGCCCAUACCCGGCCGCUGCGGCACAACUCCCCCAAGGAGAUUUACGCCGCAGUGAGUAGGAGGGUCGCAGCGGUGAGCGUUGAAGGUGCCGGGCGCGAGCCCGCCUGGAGCCGCCGCUGGUGCAGAUCUUGGUGGUAGUAGCAAAUACUCAAGUGAGAACCUUGAGGACUGAAGUUGGAGAAGGGUUCCAUGUGAACAGCAGUUGAACAUGGGUCAGUCGGUCCUAAGGGAUUGGAGAAAUCCGUUCCGAAGCGGGACAUUGACGAACAUUGCGACGAUGUGCUCGUCCCGCUAUCGACCGAAAGGGAAUGGGGUCAAUAUUCCCCAACCCGGACACGGAGAUAGGGCCCUCGGGCCCAAGUGCGGUAACGCAACCGAACUCGGAGACGUCGACGGAGGACCCGGGGAAGAGUUGUCUUUUCUUUGUAAGAGUUCGUGUCCCUGGAAUCGGCUCGUCCGGAGAUAGGGACGCUGUCCUCGUAAAAGCUCCGCGGCUCUUGCGGAGUCCGGUGCGCCUCUGUCGGCCCUUGCAAAUCCGAGGGAGAGAGUGUGAUUUUCGUGCCGGUCCGUACCCAUAUCCGCAGCAGGUCUCCAAGGUGAACAGCRUCUAGUCGAUAGAAC
RNAcentral lists this ribosomal RNA (2145 nucleotides) under Chrysometa zelotypa. RNAcentral describes it as "partial large subunit ribosomal RNA". It matches the Rfam family "Eukaryotic large subunit ribosomal RNA", at positions 26 to 1897 of the family's 3401-position model. Lineage: Eukaryota; Metazoa; Arthropoda; Arachnida; Araneae; Tetragnathidae. The record is from RNAcentral.